This 400-nucleotide unclassified non-coding RNA is filed under the name fungal sp. Its description in RNAcentral is "partial internal transcribed spacer region". The stretch from base 1 to 46 matches the Rfam family "Eukaryotic small subunit ribosomal RNA", at positions 1786 to 1831 of the family's 1831-position model. Lineage: Eukaryota; Fungi. The record is from RNAcentral.
AAGUCGUAACAAGGUUGCUGUAGGGGAACCUGCGGCAGGAUCAUCAUGAAUGUGGGUGCCUGGGGCGGCUGUGCGCGUUGAGUUUGCUUCCGGGCUUCUUUCCGUGUGUAGCCCGCUCCCCAGCGCACCCAGUAAACCUCUGUGCAGUGUGAUGGCUUGGCGGUUGGUUGUUGUGUGAUGGUGAGGAGGUUGCAUGCUGCUUUAGGCGUAUGCUGCUUUGGUGGCUGUAUGCUGCUCUGGCAGUUGCAGCCGCCUUGGUGGUGCUUGCACUACCUCCUUUGAACCCAGCACACCAGCACCAACCGCCAGGGAGAACCAAACCAAAAAAACAGUCGUGUGUUCCAGCACAAACAACAAAAACUACAUUUGACAACCUUUAACAAUGGAUCUCUUGGCUCUU